Molecule: ribosomal RNA, 429 nt
Filed under: uncultured bacterium
Lineage: Bacteria
Description: bacterial LSU rRNA
Rfam family: Bacterial large subunit ribosomal RNA
Source: RNAcentral
AAGCCCCGGUAAACGGCGGCCGUAACAUAACGGUCCUAAGGUAGCGAAAUUCCUUGUCGGGUAAGUUCCGACCUGCACGAAUGGCAUAACGACUUCCCCACUGUCUCGGAGAGGCCUCAGCGAAGUAGCACUAGGGGUGAAGAUACCCUUUACCCGCGGCAGGACGGAAAGACCCCGUGAACCUUUACUGUAACUUGGCACUGAUUUCGGGUUAGCUUGCGUAGGAUAGGUGGGAGGCUAUGAAGCCGGGAUUCCGGUCUCGGCAGAGCCAACCUUGAAAUACCACCCUGGCUAACCUAAAAAUCUAACUCGCUUCCGUAAUCCGGAAGGAGGACAAUGCCUGGUGGGCAGUUUGACUGGGGCGGUCGCCUCCCAAAAAAGUAACGGAGGCGCGCGAAGGUUCCCUCAGCCUGAUUGGAAACCAGGCGC